Molecule: non-coding RNA, 73 nt
Organism: Myotis brandtii (Brandt's bat)
Lineage: Eukaryota; Metazoa; Chordata; Mammalia; Chiroptera; Vespertilionidae
Source: Rfam
GCCAGUUUGGCUCAGUGGUUAGAGCGUUGGCCUGCAGACCCAAGGGUCCCGGGUUUGAUUCCUGGUCAGGGCA